AAGUCUGAUGUGAAAGCCUUCGGCUCAACCGAAGAAGUGCAUCGGAAACUGGGAGACUUGAGUGCAGAAGAGGACAGUGGAACUCCAUGUGUAGCGGUGAAAUGCGUAGAUAUAUGGAAGAACACCAGUGGCGAAGGCGGCUGUCUGGUCUGUAACUGACGCUGAGGCUCGAAAGCAUGGGUAGCAAACAGGAUUAGAUACCCUGGUAGUCCAUACCGUAAACGAUGAUUGCUAAGUGUUGGAGGGUUUCCGCCCUUCAGUGCUGCAGCUAACGCAUUAAGCAUUCCGCCUGGGGAGUACGACCGCAAGGCUGAAACUCAAAGGAAUUGACGGGGGCCCGCACAAGCGGUGGAGCAUGUGGUUUAAUUCGAAGCUACGCGAAGAACCUUACCAGGUCUUGACAUACUAUGCCAAUCUAAGAGAUUAGAGGUUCCCUUCGGGGACAGAGAUACAGGUGGUGCAUGGUUGUCGUCAGCUCGUGUCGUGAGAUGUUGGGUUAAGUCCCGCAACGAGCGCAACCCUUAUUAUCAGUUGCCAGCAUUAAGUUGGGCACUCUGGUGAGACUGCCGGUGACAAACCGGAGGAAGGUGGGGAUGACGUCAAAUCAUCAUGCCCCUUAUGACCUGGGCUACACACGUGCUACAAUGGAUGGUACAACGAGUUGCGAACUCGCGAGAGUAAGCUAAUCUCUUAAAACCAUUCUCAGUUCGGAUUGUAGGCUGCAACUCGCCUACAUGAAGUCGGAAUCGCUAGUAAUCGCGGAUCAGCAUGCCGCGGUGAAUACGUUCCCGGGCCUUGUACACACCGCCCGUCACACCAUGAGA
Molecule: ribosomal RNA, 824 nt
Filed under: Lactiplantibacillus plantarum
Lineage: Bacteria; Bacillati; Bacillota; Bacilli; Lactobacillales; Lactobacillaceae
Description: bacterial SSU rRNA
Rfam family: Bacterial small subunit ribosomal RNA
Source: RNAcentral